AUACGGAGGGGGCUAGCGUUGUUCGGAAUUACUGGGCGUAAAGCGCACGUAGGCGGUAUAUCAAGUUAGGCGUGAAAGCCCUGGGCUCAACCCGGGAACUGCGCUUAUUACUGAUGAACUAGAGUCCGGGAGAGGGUAGCGGAAUUCCCAGUGUAGAGGUGAAAUUCGUAGAUAUUGGGAAGAACACCAGUUGCGAAGGCGGCUACCUGGACCGGUACUGACGCUGAGGUGCGAAAGCGUGGGGAGCAAACAGGAUUAGAUACCCCAGUAGUCC
This 274-nucleotide ribosomal RNA is filed under the name uncultured bacterium. Its description in RNAcentral is "partial 16S ribosomal RNA". It matches the Rfam family "Bacterial small subunit ribosomal RNA", at positions 523 to 796 of the family's 1533-position model. The record is from RNAcentral.